Long non-coding RNA from Brienomyrus brachyistius, 3482 nucleotides. RefSeq lists it as uncharacterized. The record is from RefSeq and is a predicted model, not a curated record. Lineage: Eukaryota; Metazoa; Chordata; Actinopteri; Osteoglossiformes; Mormyridae. The transcript is spliced from 2 exons.
AAGAGUUAACAUGAUCCAGGAGAGCUAAAUAUAUUUCCGAAAUUUUGCCUUUUAGCAUAGUAGCCUGUUGUAUAAUUAUAUCUACAUGUGAAAUUUCUGUUGACAGUUGACUCCCUUUCAAAAAAAUCAUUUAUUAUUUGUUAAGCUGUAAAUAUUAAAAAAAGAUACUAGAUACUUAAAGCCUUUCUGUGCCCAAUCAAACAGAGAGAUAGUCUGAUAGUCUGUAGUUCCCUGGGUAUUGGUGAACCCACAAAUUGAUUCAUUAUCCAGAAAUUUCCCCAAUCUUUAAAAUAAUAUCUAAUACAGCAGGUACAGAAAACGCAUUCUGAAAGAUAAAGUCAUCUGCGUAUAGUGAGAUUUUAUUUUGUAUACUUCCAAUGUGAACUCAUUAGACAGCCUGACUGGUACAUAUGUCCCCUGCCAGAGGCUCUAUGGUUAAAUCAAAUAAAAGAGGGCAUCCCUGUCGACAGUCUCUGGACAAUUUAAACCUUUCUGAAAGGAUACCAUUCGUACAUAUAUGUGCGCUGGGGUUUCUAUAUAAGGAAGGACCUAAUCCAAUUUAUAAAUGUGCCACCCAAAUUAUCCAUCCAUCCAUUUUCCAAACCGCUUAUCCUACUAGGUCACAGGGGGGUCCUGAUGGGCACAAGGCAGGGAACGUAUUAUUCUCCGGUGUAUGCAAACUUUUGGACACAACUGUAUAUGCAUUGUAAGUCAGUGAAGCAUCAAAAUGAGUUUGAUCACAUUUUAAGGUAAAAGAACUACAUUGUUGCUUUAGUACUGACUUCAGACGUGCAAGCAAAACAUGAUGUACCACAUAAAAGAAGACUUUUAAUGUCCUUAAUUAUUCUACAACUUUUAAAACUCAUUUGCAAAACUCAUUUGCUCUCAAAAAUAGCAAAUGUUUAACAAGUGAGAAUCAGUUCAAAUUAACAAAAAGGGAAGUUGUAAUACAAACAUGAAUGCGAAAUGAUGCAAUAGACUGAUCAAAUUGGCCUUACUGAUCAAGUGACUUUACAGCUAAAUAGUAAACAGUAUUGAACAUUACAAACCCUGACCAACCACCUUACUUUAUUUACCCUGCCAUAUUCACUAGGCUACUUAAAACAACCAAAUGUGCUCUUUCUGUUCUCCUUACAAGAAACAAACUGUUGAGUGGUCAUUUUUCUGUCCAAUUUGUCCAGCUUGUGCUUUCGAAUGUGACACACAGUGACACUAUUGAGGCGUGUUGGUGUCAUAGUCCUUAGCAACCACGUUUACAGCCUCCAGAUGCGGCUGUUGAAGCCUCUUUCAGCUUCAGCUGAUGACACGGGAAUGACAAGAAGCAGUGUAAGAAGCGUCUCAAUUUGAUCAGAGAGGCCACGGACCUCUGGACCCAUCCCCUAAAGCAGGGGUCGGGAACCUUUUUGGCUGAGAGAGCCAUGAACGCCAUAUAUUUAAAAAUGUAAUUCCGUGAGAGCCAUACAAUAUGUUUAAAACUAAAUACAAGUAAAAGACCAACAUUUUUAAUGUACAAUAAGUCUCUGAAUUCUUUUUAAUAACGCUGUUAUGCUGUUGCUAACCAAUGAUGAAUAAAGUACUUCUUACCAUUAAUGCGACUUAUGGUGCUGAAUGGUUCUGCUGGUGGCUUUGUAGUCUGGGUGAUACGUCGUGAGGUUAAGCUUCAUGCAGGCAUUGAGACUUCCAUCCGUUAAACGUGAUCGUAGGUUGGUCUUAAUGUUCUGUGAUUGGCUCCAGCCACCUGCAACCAUGAACAUGAGCGGUAGGAAAUGAAUGGGUUGAAAUACAUGAGCAUGUUUUAUAUUUUUAACAUUAUUAUUUUUUUUAUUAAAGAUUUGUCUGUGAGCCAGAUGCAGCCAUCAAAAGAGCCACAUCUGGCUCGCGAGCCAUAGGUUCCCGACCCCUGCCCUAAAGAAUGACUGCAUCUUCACUGCUAGAUUGGAAAUUGUACUUUGUCAUGAACAUUGCUAAUUGUACUUUCAGGCAGUCAGAGUUAACUUAUGCGUGCUGUUGCACAACAUCAUUUACCAGUCAAGAGGACUUGUUCAAGAUUUCUGAUCAUAUGCAUUCCACCCUUUAGAAAUUGUUCCCUAAACUGCAUAUCUACAACAUCCAGAACAUUAAAGAAUUCAGUACUGUAGUAAUCAGUAGGGGGUUGCAUGCAUAUGUGCAGGAGCACAGCCUGUGAAACGCUGAGGUGGCUUAAAGGCACAUGGAGAGGUAACAGGAGUGAGAUGAAGUGUUUCACACAUCUUGGUUGCUUUGUUGUAAACAGUUUUAAAACUCUCUGGAUUUCUUUUUUUUGGCAAAGGCUUCUUUAACACUAGCAACAGCAGAAAGCACACCAUCCACUGUCUGUGUUCUGAUUCAUUGACCCACUCCAUUGCUAAUAAAUAAUGAGGCAGUACAGGCCUGCUGUGUAGGAAGGUUAACCCUCUAUGGCAUGGUGUAACCCUCAGGCAACAAACCACUAUUUUGGCCCACACACUGCCCCUUUAAAAUUUUACCAAAAAAACAUCACAGUAAAAGUCUGAUGACAAGUCUGUAACCAAUAAAAUUUGAGGUGGGCGUGGGUUUGACCUUUCGUCUGGGGGUGGAACAGUCCUUUUUGCAACCAUAGCCGGCUUGGACACACUGCUAGCAAAAGACGGUCUGUCUGAUGACAAUGAGUCUGUGAAUGAAGAGGAAAAUGAAGAUGAUGUACCAAAGGAAGAUGUUUCACGAUUACCCCGCUGGAGAACACACCACAGUACCAUCAUCACUGAUUACCCAGAAUGGCAGGCCAGCCUUCCAAAAUCAGACAAUAUCAUGUCCCCCUAUGAAUACUUCAAGAUGUUUUUUUCUGAAGACAUAUUGGAAGUAGUUGUAGAGCAGUCAAAUUUAUAUGCCAUUCAGUGUGAUACCAACAAGCCCCUAAACCUCACAACUAAAGAACUGGAGCAGUUCAUGGGUACAGCGGUGUACAUGUCAUUGUUUGGAUUACCAGGUACCCGCAUGUUUUGGAACAAAGCCACUCGAGUGUCCCAGGUAGCUGACACCAUAACACUAAACAGAUGGGAGUUUAUAAAAAAAAUCCCUGCACUUCAACAACAAUGAAUUGAGACAACGAGAAAAUCUUGAUCCACUCCACAAAAUCCUACCACUGGUCAUUCACCUUACCUCGAGGCUGCAGACAAUCCCAAUGUCUGAGAAGCUGGCUGUAGAUGAGCAGAUGGUCCCCUUCAAGGGAAGAAAUAGACUCAAGCAAUACUUGCCAUCAAAAACAAAGAAAUGGGGCUACAAGAUACUCAUCUUAGCUGGCUCUGAUGGUGUCCCACACAAUUUUGAGAUUUAUACAGGGAGAGCUGUGCAACCCCCUGAGCUGCCAGAUGUAGGAGCAAGUGGCUAAUCUCCAACACACAGAUUGAUAAACCAUCCACUGAUGAUUGUUGAAAUAAAACUUGUUGAAAUUGUUGUUGUCGUUGAAAUAAAACUUUUUAAAUUAA